AGGAGGAGGGGGGAGGAGGAGAGAGGAGGGGGGCCUCGAGAGCCACGUCCGCGGGAAAUAAUAGGGAUGAUAAUAAAACAGGGGGAAAACCCGUCCGAGGGAAGCUGAAUGGAUGAAGCCAGAGACACGUCACGACCAGCCGCAGCCAUGAAGACCGUGCGGUCCAACCUCCGGCUGCUCACUCGCUCCCCUUCUUUCGAGCCGCUCGCUUCUCUGGGUUGAAGAGGAGACCGAGGCAGCAGAGGCAGCAGCGGCGACGCGCAGGGCGACAGCGUCAGAAUGUGGCCCAUGUUACUUUGCCUGCAGCUUGAGAGGAUGGGUAGCCUUAGGGGUUGGCUGUUAUCUUUGGUUAUCUAGCUGUAUGAGUGAUGUACAUUCUUCAUAAAGCUAGAUAACCGAAAGUAACAAGAAUCCCAUUACACUCCUGAAAAAGGCAUCAGGACCGCCCCCCCCACCACCACCACGUGUGCAUCCCUUAAAAACAAGGGGAAACGGAAGCACUGCAAAUUCUGCCAAAAGAAGAGUAGUAACAGAAGAAGAAGAAGAAAAUGGACGACGUUUAGACGGACAUGAAAGAGGAAUGCAACAAAAGGCUACCACCACCAGACCAGUGAAGGAGAGCUGGCAAAAGGAGACUGAAAAACAGAGGAGGGGGGAGGAGGGGUUGCUGUUGAUUCUGCCUUCCCUCUCUCUUCGCCCUCCUCUGCAUCCCCCUCCUCCUCCUCCUCAGCUCCAUCCUCAGCAGAGUGCCCUUUUUCCUGUACAGCAAGACGCAGCCUGCGCCACCAUCUUAGAGCAACGCUGGCAUGAAAUGGAAGUGGGAAGACCAGCGAGUGCAGGUGAUUGCCGUCAGCGCCGGAGGAUCUAGAGCAGAAAAUGGAGGGACAGCUCAUGGGCGUUGAAGAGGCUAACGACACCAGCGCGUGACCUCUGCUCUCGAGCUCAGAAAAGCCUGCUGCGGUGGUUUUGCGCCUCAUUUACCCCGAAACAGUCAAGUUGGACCGACCCGAAGACAAACAUGUCUGUGGACUGUGUGCGGAUGAACUGGUCCUUCAUUGAGAUUCUUUCACAGACAAUAUUACAUCACGUAACGUCAACAGAUAUAGGCUCCGCCAACUGCAGGUCACGUUAGUUGAGCUGCGGCCCACGUUGUGUUUGAUUUGUUUUGUUAUAGUUGCUAGGACUCGAAGACACGUGAAUGUGAGACCCACGGCAGCAGUGAAUAAAACUGCACUGCGAUUGGACAGCUCCGUGUGUCUGCCGACACAAUGGCGAAGGAGUGAGCUGUCGUCUUUACACUCUAUGCAACUGUUUUAUCGUCUUUCUUUGUCCUUUCUUGUCAUCCUGAAUGCCAGUUGUGCAUAGCCCCUUUUAUCCAUCCUUUUUUUUUUAGGAGCCUACAUCCCCGGUGUUAAUAUGCUGAUGCAGGAGUUACAGUCAGUGUGUGACAGAUGACAGAAGCACGCCGCUCAGUUUCAUCAGCGGAUGUUCUCAAUCUCAUAUUUGCCACAGUUUGAGUAAAUGUGGACUCACACAUUUAAUAUUCCUGAUGGCAGGAGUGUAUUUGAUCAGCAGGGAGUCGCUGAGAAGGGCUUGUGGCUCUGUGUGUACAGCGCACGCCACACUAUUAAAGCCUUCCCAGCAGGCUUUGCGGCAAGACGUUUGUGCUUCAUAGCAAGUCGACUUCACACACUGUCUUCAUUUCCUGUCCCUGACAUUAACACACACACACACAUAUGCAAUAAAGCAAGUGCUAUCACAGCUUAAUUCAUUCUAUAUUAAUUUUCAGGAAGUGGCAAUUUUUCUAUAUAUAUAUAUAUGACGAUUGAUAAUCUAUGCAAAUCUUUUUAAAUAUUACUUUAAACAAUCAAUGUCUAUGCAGAGCUUUUGAAAUUGAUAAAAGAGACACUUUCUUGGCCUAAUUCAGAAAAUGUAUUCUUUUGAUAAUCAUGCACAUCCCACUGCUCCAGACAAUUACUUAUCUGCCUGGAUAAGCUUGAAAUUAUGUUUUUAAUCUCUAGCAAAAAGAAGAAAGAAGAGUCACUCCUCUGAUAUCAGUCCAAUGGCAUGAAAAGUGUGAAUUGUAGUCUAGUGAAUGUACUUAGGGCUGCAACUAACGAUUAUUUUCAGAAUCAAUUAAUCUGUCAAUUAUUUUCCCGAAUAAAUCAAGUACUUCUGUCUGUAAAAUGUUGAAAAAUUUGAAUUACCGUUUACCAAAUCUGGUAAAUGGUCUUGUUUCAUUAGCAUUUAAGGUGUGGAAAAAUCAGAAAGCAAUAGUUGACGAUUCAUUUAGUAAUGGGUGAAUAAUGGUUGCAGCCCUAAUUGUGCUAAAUCUCUUGGUUUUCUUUAAUGUUGAUCUGUAUCUGUAUCAUGUCGUUGAAAUGUUUGUAUGAUGCAGUCUGAUCACUGUGGAUUCACCACGUGUGCCUUCUCCAUGGAAAACUGUGUUGGAAUAGUAAUAAAGUUGUUUACAUUGAAAACA
Molecule: long non-coding RNA, 2482 nt
Organism: Solea senegalensis (Senegalese sole)
Lineage: Eukaryota; Metazoa; Chordata; Actinopteri; Pleuronectiformes; Soleidae
Exons: 4
Source: RefSeq, a predicted model, not a curated record